GGGGGGGGGGGGGGGGGGGGGGGGGGGGGGGAGGGGGGGGGGGGGGGGGCGGGGGGUGUGGGGGGCUGGGGUGGCGGACGGGUGGGGACGACGUGGGUAACCUGCGCUUGACUUUGGGAUAACUUCAGGAAACUGGGGCUACUACCGGAUCGGAGCUCAUGCUGCAUGGUGGGGGGUGGGCAGUUUCGGCGGUUGGGGAUGGACUCGCGGCUUAUCAGCUUGUUGGUGGGGUAGUGGCUUACCACGGCUUUGGCGGGUAGCCGGCCUGAGAGGGUGACCGGCCACAUUGGGACUGAGAUACGGCCCAGACUCCUACGGGAGGCAGCAGUGGGGGAUAUUGCACAAUGGGCGGAAGCCUGAUGCAGCAACGCCGCGUGCGGGAUGACGGCCUUCGGGUUGUAAACCGCUUUCGCCUGUGACGAAGCGUGAGUGACGGUAAUGGGUAAAGAAGCACCGGCUAACUACGUG
RNAcentral lists this ribosomal RNA (468 nucleotides) under uncultured bacterium. Its description in RNAcentral is "partial 16S ribosomal RNA". The stretch from base 49 to 468 matches the Rfam family "Bacterial small subunit ribosomal RNA", at positions 39 to 507 of the family's 1533-position model. The record is from RNAcentral.